GUGCCAGCAGCCGCGGUAACACGUAGGGUGCAAGCGUUGUCCGGAAUUAUUGGGCGUAAAGAGCUCGUAGGCGGCUUGUCGCGUCUGCUGUGAAAUCCCGAGGCUCAACCUCGGGCCUGCAGUGGGUACGGGCAGGCUAGAGUGCGGUAGGGGAGAUUGGAAUUCCUGGUGUAGCGGUGGAAUGCGCAGAUAUCAGGAGGAACACCAAUAGCGAAGGCAGAUCUCUGGGCCGUAACUGACGCUGAGGAGCGAAAGCAUGGGGAGCGAACAGGAUUAGAUACCCUGGUAGUCCAUGCCGUAAACGUUGGGAACUAGAUGUAGGGCCGGUUCCACGGGUUCUGUGUCGUAGCUAACGCACUAAGUUCCCCGCCUGGGGAGUACGGCCGCAAGGCUAAAACUCAAAGGAAUUGACGG
This 414-nucleotide ribosomal RNA is filed under the name uncultured bacterium. RNAcentral's name for it is "bacterial SSU rRNA". It matches the Rfam family "Bacterial small subunit ribosomal RNA", at positions 505 to 916 of the family's 1533-position model. The record is from RNAcentral.